AAUAAAGUAAGCUAUAUUUAAGCUAGUGGGUUCAUACCCCAAAUAAGGAUUUUAUCCCUUUAUUU
This 65-nucleotide transfer RNA is filed under the name Graptacme eborea. Its description in RNAcentral is "tRNA-Met". The record is from RNAcentral. Lineage: Eukaryota; Metazoa; Mollusca; Scaphopoda; Dentaliida; Dentaliidae.